AAAAAUUCUACUUACAAGGAACGUUUUGCUAGCUUAGAGAAUUUGAUUUUAAUCAUGUUUGAUCAAGACGCAGUUUUGAUACCCAAGGAAACCUCCUGGUUUGGGUAUUAUCCAGAUGGAGCCUUUACUCCUGUUCUGCCUGCACAAGAAACUAAGCUCUACACUGAAGACUGGAUUGGGUUGAAAACACUAGAUGAAGCAGGAAAAGUUAAAUUCGUAAAUGUCUCCGGGAAUCACCUUGAUAUCUCUCAGAAUGAUAUGAAGAAGUAUAUAGUGCCCUAUUUGGAGGACCAAGCAUCAUACCAGCACAUAAAAACAGAACCUCCAUCUUAUAGAUGGGUUUCAUCAAUCAG
This 353-nucleotide unclassified non-coding RNA is filed under the name Hevea brasiliensis (rubber tree). Lineage: Eukaryota; Viridiplantae; Streptophyta; Magnoliopsida; Malpighiales; Euphorbiaceae. The record is from RNAcentral.